This 253-nucleotide ribosomal RNA is filed under the name uncultured bacterium. RNAcentral's name for it is "partial 16S ribosomal RNA". It matches the Rfam family "Bacterial small subunit ribosomal RNA", at positions 524 to 776 of the family's 1533-position model. The record is from RNAcentral.
GACAGAGGUGCCGAGCGUUAGGCGGAAUCACUGGGCUUAAAGCGUGUGUAGGCGGGUCCGUAAGUACCUUGUGAAAUCCCACGGCUCAACCGUGGAACUGCUUGGUAUACUGCGGGUCUUGAGCCACUUAGGGGCAAGCGGAACAAACGGUGGAGCAGUGAAAUGCGUAGAUAUCGUUUGGAACGCCAAUGGUGAAAACAGCUUGCUGGGAGUGUGCUGACGCUGAGACACGAAAGCCAGGGGAGCAAACGGG